CGAAGAUGCCCCAUUGAGAACUGAAUGAAGUUGGAGAGCUUGCUCAAAGAUGGAAUGACGUAGGAUUUGGAUUCUGCAUCUAGGUGGCGAACGGGUGAGUAACACAUGGGUUAUCUGCCUUCAAGCUGGGGGAUAACAGUUAGAAAUGACUGCUAAUACCGAAUGUGCUAGUAAUAGUAAAGGUGCCUUUUAAAGCAUCACUUGAAGAUGAGCCUGUGGCGUAUUAGUUAGUUGGUAGGGUAAUGGCCUACCAAGGCGACGAUGCGUAGCCGGGCUGAGAAGCUGAACGGCCACACUGGGACUGAGACACGGCCCAGACUCCUACGGGAGACAGCAGUUAGGAAUAUUCGGCAAUGGGCGAAAGCCUGACCGAGCAAUGCCGCGUGUGAGAUAGGAAGGUCCUUUGGAUUGUAAAUCACUUUUAUUUGGGAAGAACAGCAGAUAGAGGAAAUGAUGUCUGUUUGACGGUACCAUUUGAAUAAGCCCCGGCUAACUACGUGCCAGCCGCCGC
This 511-nucleotide ribosomal RNA is filed under the name uncultured bacterium. Its description in RNAcentral is "bacterial SSU rRNA". It matches the Rfam family "Bacterial small subunit ribosomal RNA", at positions 35 to 518 of the family's 1533-position model. The record is from RNAcentral.